AGGGUUUGAUCCUGGCUCAGGACGAACGCUGGCGGCGUGCCUAACACAUGCAAGUCGAACGGGACUCAGCCCUUCGGGACUGAGUUUAGUGGCGAACGGGUGAGUAACGCGUGAGGAACCUGCCUUUCAGUGGGGGACAACAGUUGGAAACGACUGCUAAUACCGCAUAAUGCUUUUUGAUGGCAUCAUUGAAAAGCCAAAGAUUUAUUGCUGAAAGAUGGCCUCGCGUCUGAUUAGCUAGUUGGUGGGGUAACGGCCCACCAAGGCGACGAUCAGUAGCCGGUCUGAGAGGAUGAACGGCCACAUUGGGACUGAGAUACGGCCCAG
RNAcentral lists this ribosomal RNA (327 nucleotides) under uncultured bacterium. RNAcentral describes it as "bacterial SSU rRNA". It matches the Rfam family "Bacterial small subunit ribosomal RNA", at positions 8 to 334 of the family's 1533-position model. The record is from RNAcentral.